This is a long non-coding RNA of Anguilla rostrata (American eel), 194 nucleotides long. RefSeq lists it as uncharacterized. Lineage: Eukaryota; Metazoa; Chordata; Actinopteri; Anguilliformes; Anguillidae. The record is from RefSeq and is a predicted model, not a curated record. The transcript has 2 exons.
UGUGUGUGUGUAUAUGUGUAUGUGUAAGUAUGAGGUCACAGUAUAUCUGAGUGUGUGUAUGUGUAUAUGAGUGUGUCACAGUAUGUCUGAGUGUGUGUAUGCAUAUAUGAGUGUGUAUAUGUACAUGUAUAUGUAUGUGUAAGUAUGAGGUCACAGUAUGUCUGAGUGUGUGUAUGCGUAUAUGAGUGUGUAUA